Long non-coding RNA from Zingiber officinale, 222 nucleotides. RefSeq lists it as uncharacterized. The transcript is spliced from 2 exons. Lineage: Eukaryota; Viridiplantae; Streptophyta; Magnoliopsida; Zingiberales; Zingiberaceae. The record is from RefSeq and is a predicted model, not a curated record.
AUGGAGAGUUCUUCCAUUGGUGGUGAAUCAUCCUCAUCACCUUUGGCCUCUUCCGAAGAGAAGGAGAUCAGCAAAGAAGAAGAAGAGGUGGAGAGUGGAGCUUUGGGGUGUUUAGAUUGCCUAGAGGAGUCCCUUCCUGUCAAUUCAUGGCUUUCUUAUCAAUUUCCACAGGAGAGGAUUAUCUUUGUUCUUCUCAGGAAAAUCCAAAUCAUUCACCAGUUU